CUUGGUCAUUUAGAGGAAGUAAAAGUCGUAACAAGGUUUCCGUAGGUGAACCUGCGGAAGGAUCAUUAUCAAACGUAUCCACGUAUAAACUAACUGUGAACCGUCUCGCCUUUGAAGCCGAAGGGUUAAAUGUCUUUUCGAAGACUUUUAGUUGUUUUUAUCGAUCCAAUUGCUAUCCCAAACGUUCAUUUGAUGGAUGUGGUUUAUGAACGGGCAAUUGCUGCAACAUUCAAACAAUCAUCUCUUUGGUUCAAAGUGUAUUAACUUAAACUCGCUCAUCCAAAACUAUUAACCAAUUGAACCGUUUAAAAAUUCUUUUUUUAAAUCAUAUUGAUCUGAAUUGUUUUCUUCAUUCGUUCUUCGGAAUGAAUAUUAAAACGUUAUUCUACGAAAUAUACAAAAAGAACAACUCUUAGCAACGGAUAUCUUGGUUCUCGUAACGAUGAAGAACGCAGCGAAAUGCGAUACGUAAUACGAAUUGCAGAAUUCAGUGAAUCAUCAAAUCUUUGAACGCAAAUGGCGCUUCUUGGAUAGGCCAGGAAGCAUGCCUCUUUGAGUAUCGUUUUCACCUCAGCUCGACUGUCUUUUUUGUGAAAAGAAGACGUGGUCGGAAAAUGAGUGUGUCUCGUUUGAAAAGACGAGUCCCUUUAAGUGCUGCAAAAGCCAAAAUUGACUCACAAAACGUAGUUGCACAUUUUGUUGAUCAGUAACGUGGAUAAAUUUAUUUACGAUACGACGUCAAUCGAGUGAGUGACAUUUAUUGCGUCUUGUGAAUUUGUGCUUUUGAGUGGAAAUAUAAAUCGAGCGAAAUUAAGUAAAAUUAAUUUUUCUCCUCGAAUUUGAUCUCAAAUGAAGCAAGAGUACCCGCUGAACUUAAGCAUAUUAUUAAGCGGAGGAAAAGAAACUAACAAGGAUGCCCUCAGUAACGGCGAGUGAAGCGGGCGAAGCUCAACCUGGAAAUCGGAUACCCAAGCGGGUGUUCGAAUUGUGGGCUGGAGGACGCGUGAUCAGUGUGUGACCUAAGUAUAAAUCCUUUGAAACAGGGUGUCACAGAGGGUGAGAAUCCCGUCUAUGACUUAGAGUUCGCCGCGGACGAUCCGUGUUCAAAGAGUCGAGUUGUUUGGGAUUGCAGCUCUAAAUGGGUGGUAAAUUUCAUCUAAAGCUAAAUAUCGACGAGAGACCGAUAGCGAACAAGUACCGUGAGGGAAAGAUGAAAAGAACUUUGAAAAGAGAGUUAAAAGUACUUGAAAUUGCUAAGAGGGAAGCACUGGAAACCAGUAGUUAAUGGCUCACAUGUAUUCUUACUUUUCGGUUCCGGAAUGUGCUGUGUGUUUGGAGCCCAAAGCCCAAUAUACGGUACACGAAGGUCUGAGAGGGACAUGUACGGUGAGUCAGAUCAGAAUCAAUUUGAUUCGUGAGAGAAAGCUAUGGCAACGGUAGGACUUUAUGGGGAAACUCACUAAGUCUGUUUAGUGCUGUAGUGCUAUCAUGGAUUAGAUUGAGGUACAAUCGUAAUGCGCACCACUAGGUUAUCGAUUCCCCGAGCCUUGCCGUUGUUAGAGUCGUGGACAACAAAGUUGUGCUGAUUCUGGGAAUGGUUACUGCGAAGGAUGAAUUAGACGCAGCAUUCGAGAUUCUGAUGAAAUGGUUUUCAUUGACCCGUCUUGAAACACGGACC
Molecule: ribosomal RNA, 1678 nt
Filed under: uncultured fungus
Lineage: Eukaryota; Fungi
Description: eukaryotic LSU rRNA
Rfam family: Eukaryotic large subunit ribosomal RNA (bases 841-1678)
Source: RNAcentral